This 270-nucleotide long non-coding RNA is filed under the name Hordeum vulgare. Its description in RNAcentral is "long non-coding RNA (HVUL_LNC005475)". The record is from RNAcentral. Lineage: Eukaryota; Viridiplantae; Streptophyta; Magnoliopsida; Poales; Poaceae.
CUCUCUGGCUGCAGUCGAGUCGACGGUGUCCUCUCCUCGUCCGUCCCAGCCUACGCAUUCAUGUCGGCGACGAGAUUCACGGCGCCGUCGACGGGCGACAUGUCAUGUCAGGGGGAGGAGCGAUUAGGAAUGGCAGCAAGACCAAGGAAUGGACGCAGACUGGCCUCUUCUGACGAGUGAUGCAUGGAGCUGAUUCUAUUCUAAUCUCACGCACUGCAAGGGGGCGCCGCUCGCGAGUGCCGCGUCUCCGCUUCCCUCGCCUCUUCCAAC